RNAcentral lists this ribosomal RNA (330 nucleotides) under uncultured Glomus. RNAcentral describes it as "SSU rRNA". It matches the Rfam family "Eukaryotic small subunit ribosomal RNA", at positions 569 to 905 of the family's 1831-position model. Lineage: Eukaryota; Fungi; Glomeromycota; Glomeromycetes; Glomerales; Glomeraceae. The record is from RNAcentral.
AGCAGCCGCGGUAAUUCCAGCUCCAAUAGCGUAUAUUAAAGUUGUUGCAGUUAAAAAGCUCGUAGUUGAAUUUCGGGAUUAAUAUGCUGGUCGUGCCAUUGGUACGUACUAGUAUUAUUGAUUUCUCCCUUNUGAUAAAUCAUGAUGUCAUUAAUUUGAUGUCAUGAGGAAUCAGGACUGUUACUUUGAAAAAUUAGAGUGUUUAAAGCAGGCUCGCGCUUGAAUACAUUAGCAUGGAAUAAUGAAAUAGGACGUUUGAUUCUAUUUGUUGGUUUCUAGGAUUUUGACGUAAUGAUUAAUAGGAUAGUUGGGGCAUUAGUAUUCAAUUGU